AGUGAAGGCCUGGGGCUCCACAGAUAACCGGACUUGGCCCCACGUACUCCUGGAACAUGCCUAUUCUUGCCAUUCUGGGAAAGCCAAGGCUGAAUUGCUCAGCCUGACCCUGAACAGACCCUUGGCAUUCCCCUGGAAGCGGACUAGACAGAGGAGGGUUUUCACCUUCUCUAAACUAAAAACCAUUGUGUGCGCGCACAUCUGGCCCUUUCGCGGAGACUUCAGCCUUUCAAAGGAGCGAGACGUCUACCUUGGAGGAAGCUGUCGUGGGUUGUUGAUAUUCAACAGAAGUCAUAGUUUCGGCAAGAGCAGAAGCUCAGACACAGACGGAAGGGGAAAAGCCGGAGGAGGAUUCUAGAGUGUAUUCAGGGACGAGGCUGCUGACACAAACCACCACAGCUGCCCACUAACCAGU
RNAcentral lists this long non-coding RNA (415 nucleotides) under Rattus norvegicus (Norway rat). Its description in RNAcentral is "long non-coding RNA NONRATT021922". Lineage: Eukaryota; Metazoa; Chordata; Mammalia; Rodentia; Muridae. The record is from RNAcentral.